RNAcentral lists this long non-coding RNA (840 nucleotides) under Olea europaea subsp. europaea. Lineage: Eukaryota; Viridiplantae; Streptophyta; Magnoliopsida; Lamiales; Oleaceae. The record is from RNAcentral.
GAGCAACAGCGGUAUGAACAAAGGGUAAAUCGUGAUUUACACUACAUGUCGAUUAUCUUUUUCCUAUCAAUUGUUGGGGGUUUUAGUUGAACAUUUUCAUGCUUUGAUGCCUUUGUGAUUUUGCUGCUUUAUUGGUUCGGUUUUUGGAUUUGAUCUGUGAAUCGGUAUCCUUAUUCUUCAGUCACACUAAUUUCUGCUAAUUAUUAAAAUAAUAUAAAAGAAAUAAACGGGACUGUCACUAAUUGAUUAAAAAAAUCAUAUGUUUUUUGGAUAUCCCUUUUUUUUUUUUUUUUUUUGGGGUAGAGGGGUGGGCAUUUUUUCGUGUGAAGAAAUUAUGAAUUUUUUCGGACAAUAUUCUAGGUAUGCAGAAUCAAAUAGGCUUCUAACCAGCGCAAAUUUAAGCUCAAAAUGGAAAGGUUUAGGGAUUAUUUUGCUCGUAGAAGCCUUCAAGUGAGCAUGGACGAAUUCUUGUGAGUACGGGUGACCGCCCAAUAUAAGAAAAACUAAGUUUUCGACAGAACGAGUACGAACGGCUGCAGGGGCUCGUCGAAUUCUGACUCAACCCCCAAUUCAAUAACAGCUUCUGGGAUACAAAUAGCACAUCGGUUUACCUUAGAAUUGGAUUGGAAUUACGAACGACUGAUGUUACGUUGUUAGUGGAUGGUAUCAAUGUUUAUAAAGAGAUUCAACGCUAUAGGAGAUGGGAAGCUAAAAUUAAUUUCGCUCACCUAUACAGCAGAAAUUAUAUAGUUGAUUAAUGGAGCCAUUUAUCUCUCUCUCUUCUUCUUCCCCUUUUUUUUUUUUUUUGGGACUGUAUAAUCUUUAUUAUGUCUAUGCAAC